GACCUACUGUCCAUUUCUUUUCCAGUUGGAGAGAGUACCAUCACCUGAUCACCGCCGGAGAAGCUACCGAGACUUGGACAAGCCCCGUCGUUCUCCCACAUUGCGCUAUAGGAGGAGUAGGAGCCGGUCUCCCAGAAGGCGGAGUCGGUCUCCUAAAAGGAGGAGCCCCUCCCCUCGCCGAGAAAGGCAUCGGAGCAAAAGCCCAAGACGUCACCGCAGCAGAUCUCGAGAUAGACGGCACAGAUCCCGCUCCAAGUCCCCAGGUCAUCACCGUAGUCAUAGACACAGGAGCCACUCAAAGUCUCCUGAAAGAUCUAAGAAAAGCCACAAGAAGAGCCGGAGAGGGAAUGAGUAAUGGACUCAGUUUGGUAUUAGUCCAAAUGACCACCUGUGGAUCCGAAGGCAUCUAUGUGGAGGGCUUAAGAUCUACUCCCCAGGCAGCUAUGAGAAUAUUUUAGGUCUUUUUAACCAUAUUUCUCCACUUUUCUUUUUCUUAAAUGAAAGAGGUGCUGAGUUUUGUAUCUCUCUGAGUCAUACUUCGCAUUUGAGGGAUAGUGCUUCCCAAGGGCUGCUUUGGACCCCGUUGUGUAACCAACCUUGACUAUACUCAAAUUUAUAAGGGUAGAAAGGAUUUGAGGGGUGGAGAGGAUGAAUGACAAGGACAGGAUGUGGCUGGCUGUUGACCUUUUUGUUAUUAAAUUUUAUACACCCAUUUUCCUGUAGUUCAGUUGUUUGGCUCCAUGAUGGUAACUGUUCUGAGAAUCCUGAGAUCUGUGCUGCUGCUAUUACACUCAAAAAUCAAGUCAGUAAAACCUAUUACCUCUGUUUUUCCCCUCCCCCAACACGUCCAUGUAGUAAUAAUAGCAUGAAAACUGACGAGUUAGCAGCAGCUUUGUAAGAAGAAAAGAAUGCAUUCAAAUGUAAGACUUCUUCUCUGGAUCAUUUAAUCCAAUUGCAUUGAACAGUUCAACAAUGAAACUGAAGCUUAAUACCUUUUAUACAACAUUCUUAUACAAUACUACUUCUUCCCCAGGAGCCUUGAAUUCUAGGUUAUGGUGCGCAGCCUUUAUCUUGUAAGCACUGACAUUAUCCAAGUAUAGUCGGUAGCAGUAGGGCAACAAGAUUGAAAAGAAGAGAAAAGUAUCUAAUACCACUCGGGGUUUUGACCUGAAUUGCUGGAAAAUAGUGCCAUUCAUUCAUAGAGCUACAAAAUACAGCAGGAACAGGCCAGGCUUUACAGGGGCAUGUGGUCAAAGUUGUGCUGGUAGUAAAAAGUGAUGCAUUCAAUUUAUCCUGAAGUGUAAUUAGAGGCUGCCAUGGUAUAACUAGAUAAAGCCCAGGUUGUUAGGAACUGGAGUUGAACAUAGUGAUCUAACCCUGAACUGACAACAUUCAGGUAACUGUGGAAUAUGCAGAAUUAUAUGGGAUUGCCCAGGAAGUGUUUAUGUAAGAAAAGCCAACAACAGAAUCAUUGGCAACACUCAACACUGGUGAGAGGAAGCACUGCAAUCAACCAACUGAAAAUGAACCACUCAGAAAGGAGACAGUAUGGCAAAGAAGCUAAGGGUCUGAGGAUUCAGAAGCAAAAUAAGAAAUGCAGAGUGUCCGUGGGCACUGAUAAUCAAGAGGGUGCUGGGAUCUUUGCUAGAAGAGUUCAGUCUACCAGUACUUAACCUUUCCUCCUCUAAAAACGGAAAAGUGAAAAAAAGGAAUGGGGGAGGGGGAGUGAUUUGACUUCCUGCAGCUCUGGACUCAGCAAGAAUUAUGGAGACCAACUGCCUCAUAGGAUCCAGUUUCUUGGGAAGUUAUAUCUGGUCAUAUGAUAAUUAUUCUUUUGCUUGCUAUUGAACUGAAGGACUUUUGCAAUAUUAAAGCAUUUUGAGAUAUUUGAGAUUUCAUGUUCUUCAGUGAUUCCUGAUAAUACUUGAGCUAAUAAAAGUUGACCAUAA
Non-coding RNA from Leptonychotes weddellii (Weddell seal), 1949 nucleotides. Lineage: Eukaryota; Metazoa; Chordata; Mammalia; Carnivora; Phocidae. The record is from RefSeq and is a predicted model, not a curated record.